This 203-nucleotide unclassified non-coding RNA is filed under the name uncultured fungus. RNAcentral describes it as "partial contains 18S rRNA, ITS1, 5.8S rRNA". Lineage: Eukaryota; Fungi. The record is from RNAcentral.
GCGGAGGGAUCAUUACAAGUGACCCCGGCCUAACCACCGGGAUGUUCAUAACCCUUUGUUGUCCGACUCUGUUGCCUCCGGGGCGACCCUGCCUUCGGGCGGGGGCUCCGGGUGAACACUUCAAACUCUUGCGUAACUUUGCAGUCUGAGUAAACUUAAUUAAUAAAUUAAAACUUUUAACAACGGAUCUCUUGGUUCUGGCA